This 500-nucleotide ribosomal RNA is filed under the name uncultured bacterium. RNAcentral's name for it is "bacterial SSU rRNA". It matches the Rfam family "Bacterial small subunit ribosomal RNA", at positions 8 to 499 of the family's 1533-position model. The record is from RNAcentral.
AGAGUUUGAUCAUGGCUCAGAUUGAACGCUGGCGGCAAGCCUAACACAUGCAAGUCGAACGAAACCAUUGAGAGCUUGUUCUCGGGUGACGAGUGUAGUGCGGGUGAGUAAUGUCUGGGAAACUGCCUGGUGGAGGGGGAUAACUACUGGAAACGGUAGCUAAUACCGGAUAGCGUCUCAAGACCAAAGAGGGGGACCUUCGGGCCUCUUGCCAUCAAAUGUGCCCAGAUGGAAUUAGCUCGUAGGUGGGGUAAUGGCUCACCUAGGCAACGAUCCCUAGCUGGUCUGAGAGGAUGACCAGCCACUCUGGAACUGAUACACGGUCCAGACUCCUACGGGAGGCAGCAGUGGGGAAUAUUGCACAAUGGGCGCAAGCCUGAUGCAGCCAUGCCGCGUGUAUGAAGAAGGCCUUCGGGUUGUAAAGUACUUUCAGCGGGGAGGAAGGUGUUGUGGUUAAUAACCACAGCAAUUGACGUUACCCGCAGAGGAAGCACCGGCUA